RNAcentral lists this ribosomal RNA (629 nucleotides) under uncultured bacterium. RNAcentral's name for it is "bacterial SSU rRNA". It matches the Rfam family "Bacterial small subunit ribosomal RNA", at positions 8 to 683 of the family's 1533-position model. The record is from RNAcentral.
AGAGUUUGAUCAUGGCUCAGAGCGAACGCUGGCGGCAGGCCUAAUACAUGCAAGUCGAGCGCCGUAGCAAUACGGAGCGGCAGACGGGAGAGUAACACGUGGGAACGUACCCUUCAGUUCGGAACAACCCAGGGAAACUUGGGCUAAUACCGGAUACGUCCGUAAGGAGAAAGAUUUAUCGCUGAAGGAUCGGCCCGCGUCUGAUUAGCUUGUUGGUGAGGUAACGGCUCACCAAGGCGACGAUCAGUAGCUGGUCUGAGAGGAUGAUCAGCCUCACUGGGACUGAGACACGGCCCAGACUCCUACGGGAGGCAGCAGUAGGGAAUAUUGGACAAUGGGCGCAAGCCUGAUCCAGCCAUGCCGCGUGGGUGAUGAAGGCCCUAGGGUUGUAAAGCCCUUUCGGCGGGGAAGAUAAUGACGGUACCCGCAGAAGAAGCCCCGGCUAACUUCGUGCCAGCAGCCGCGGUAAUACGAAGGGGGCUAGCGUUGCUCGGAAUCACUGGGCGUAAAGCGCACGUAGGCGGCUUUUUAAGUCAGGGGUGAAAUCCUGGAGCUCAACUCCAGAACUGCCCUUGAUACUGAGAGGCUCGAGUCCGGGAGAGGUGAGUGCAACUGCGAGUGUAGAGGUG